GUGGACCUACGGGACGCAGCAGUAGGGAAUCUUCCACAAUGGACGAAAGUCUGAUGGAGCAACGCCGCGUGAGUGAAGAAGGGUUUCGGCUCGGAAAACUCCGUUGGUAGUGGAGAAAGAUAGAGGUAGAAACUGGCCUUUAUUUUACGGUAAUUACUUAGAAAGUCAAGGCUAACUACGUGCCCGCAGCCGCAGUAAUACGUAGGUGGCAAACGUUGUCCGGAUUUAUUGGGCGUAAAGCGAGUGCAGGCGGUU
Molecule: ribosomal RNA, 255 nt
Filed under: uncultured bacterium
Lineage: Bacteria
Description: partial 16S ribosomal RNA
Rfam family: Bacterial small subunit ribosomal RNA
Source: RNAcentral